Molecule: ribosomal RNA, 508 nt
Filed under: uncultured bacterium
Lineage: Bacteria
Description: bacterial SSU rRNA
Rfam family: Bacterial small subunit ribosomal RNA
Source: RNAcentral
UUCUGGCUCAGGAUGAACGCUGGCGGCGUGCCUAAUACAUGCAAGUCGAACGAGGUAGCAAUACCGAGUGGCGAACGGGUGAGUAACACGUAGGUAACCUGCCCUUAAGCUUGGGAUACCCAGAGGAAACUUUGGCUAAUACCGGAUAACAACAGAGAAGGCAUCUUCUUUGCUUGAAAGGCCCCUUCAAGGGUCACUUAAGGAUGGACCUGCGGCGCAUUAGCUAGUUGGUGAGAUAACAGCCCACCAAGGCGAGGAUGCGUAGCCGAACUGAGAGGUUGAUCGGCCACAUUGGAACUGAGACACGGUCCAAACUCCUACGGGAGGCAGCAGUAAGGAGUUUUCGGCAAUGGGGGGAAACCCUGACCGAGCAACGCCGCGUGAGCGAUGACGGCCCUAUGGGUUGUAAAAAGCUCUGUUGUAAGCCAUGAACGAUAGCUUGAGGAAAUGCAAGCUAUUUGACGACAGCUUACCAGAAAGCCACGGCUAACUACGUGCCAGCAGCAGC